Long non-coding RNA from Sphaeramia orbicularis (orbiculate cardinalfish), 173 nucleotides. RefSeq lists it as uncharacterized. The transcript has 3 exons. The record is from RefSeq and is a predicted model, not a curated record. Lineage: Eukaryota; Metazoa; Chordata; Actinopteri; Kurtiformes; Apogonidae.
UGGAUACAGAAGCCUAACAAGGUAACCAAGAGAUGAGAAACAAACUGGAUGAUAGAUAAUUGUUUUUAGUGUAUUUUACAGAUGAUUUAAGACAAGGGUCAAAACUGACCUGUUAACAUAAGAAAUGGUAACAGAAAGCAAACACAAGAGGAAGGUUAAACAGCAAAGCAUGC